CCUACGGGCGGCAGCAGUGGGGAAUAUUGCACAAUGGGCGAAAGCCUGAUGCAGCGACGCCGCGUGAGCGAAGAAGUAUUUCGGUAUGUAAAGCUCUAUCAGAAGGGAAGAAAAUGACGGUACCUUACUAAGAAGCUCCGGCUAAAUACGUGCCAGCAGCCGCGGUAAUACGUAUGGAGCAAGCGUUAUCCGGAUUUACUGGGUGUAAAGGGAGUGUAGGCGGCACUAUAAGUCUGAUGUGAAAACCUAAGGCUUAACCAUAGGAUUGCAUUGGAAACUGUAGAGCUGGAGUAUCGGAGAGGCAAGCGGAAUUCCUGGUGUAGUGGUGAAAUACGUAGAUAUCAGGAAGAACAUCGGUGGCGAAGGCGGCUUGCUGGGCGAUAACUGACGCUAAGGCUCGAAAGCGUGGGAAGCGAACAGGAUUAGAUACCCUAGUAGUC
Molecule: ribosomal RNA, 440 nt
Filed under: Pseudomonas chlororaphis subsp. chlororaphis
Lineage: Bacteria; Pseudomonadati; Pseudomonadota; Gammaproteobacteria; Pseudomonadales; Pseudomonadaceae
Description: bacterial SSU rRNA
Rfam family: Bacterial small subunit ribosomal RNA
Source: RNAcentral